This 132-nucleotide non-coding RNA is filed under the name Paenibacillus uliginis. Its description in RNAcentral is "SAM-I sequence". It matches the Rfam family "SAM riboswitch aptamer (S box leader)". From Rfam's summary of the family: The SAM riboswitch is found upstream of a number of genes which code for proteins involved in methionine or cysteine biosynthesis in Gram-positive bacteria. The record is from RNAcentral. RNAcentral also lists the same sequence under 1 other name. Lineage: Bacteria; Bacillati; Bacillota; Bacilli; Caryophanales; Paenibacillaceae.
AUCUUAUCAAGAGCAGGUGGAGGGACUAGCCCUAUGAAACCCGGCAACCGGCGGCAAUAUCGCACGGUGCUAAUUCUUGCAGGAUGUACGCGACCUUAUCGUUAAGGACCGCGAAAUUCUGACAGAUGAGAG